This 3570-nucleotide long non-coding RNA is filed under the name Zalophus californianus (California sea lion). RNAcentral describes it as "lncRNA (ENSZCAG00015012786.1)". The record is from RNAcentral. Lineage: Eukaryota; Metazoa; Chordata; Mammalia; Carnivora; Otariidae.
GGUGGAAACUCCUCCUCCACUCCGCCCCGAGGCAGUCAGGACUCGGCUAGCCGCGCGUCUCCGCCCGCCCGAGCGUUUCCAUAAAUCAGGCCCCUGGCAGGCUGCUAAUGAGCUCAGGGCGAAAAGAAUAGGAAGAGGGAGAGUCCAGUAGUGCUCGGUGGGGUGGGGGGGGGGUGGGAGCGCAGUAGGUGGGAGAUCAGAAUUUCCCCAGGACCUGCGGGCCACUGCCUGGGGCACCUCAACAGCCCCCCGCGGAGGCCACUGCAGAUCACUUUCCCCCAGCCGGGGCCUCCGAGCUGGGGCCUCCAGAUCACAUGCCUCCCGCGCUGCGCGCACCCGGGUGUCGGACCUGGCCCGCCCACCCACGCCGAGGCCCCCUCUCCCACUUGGCUGAGCAAGCCCUGCGUUAAUUAAAUCUCCCCUCGCCCCCUGCAAUUUCGGAAGACUUUCAAAACUCAUCCCCAAGUGUUUCCUCCUUAAGCCUGAAGCCUGCGCUUGGAAGAGCCGCCAGGAAAAGAGGGACCUGGGUCUGGUAGGAGGGUCGGUCACCUCAAGGCUUUGGGGUAACAGCCCCCCCCCAAGGAUUUUGGGUUGUGGGAUGGGACGCUGUAACCCUACUCCUCCUCCCCCAGUGAAAAGGCAAGACGGGGUCAAUCAAGAUCAGAAAUAACACUAAAGUUGGAUUAUUGAUUUCCAUGUAAAUCCGGAGCAGAGGACGCGGCGAAUUAGGCAGUGGAGUCCGCUCCGUCAAUGAAGGGACUAAGGUUUCGUGGACAAUAAUGUGGCAAUUGUUGAUGGUUUGUGACCCAUAAAAUGUGGAGGUGACUGUUCUGGCUUUGGUGGACAGAAACGGAAAAGUUUAAGAGUUGCACUGACUGGUUUUACAAGUUCAAAUCCUUGGCUCCUCCAGCGUCUGUCGUUUGGGGCCGCGGCUACGAGCGCCCCGGAUUUGAGGCGCGGCGGGAGGACCCCGCAGGUCGCCGGGCGGUGGGACAGGCCCCAGCUGCUGCAGCUCUGAUCGUGCCGAGCAGAGAGGGAGAACUCGGCCGCGCCCUGGGUUUGGUGAUUCUGGAAGGAAGGCGGAGAAAAGUGGAGUCGGCGUGCCCCUCAAGUCCCAUAUUUAGAGCUUUCGCAGGCACCCAAGUGGCCAAUUCCGGCCGCAGAACUGCCUGCCCUGGAGGCUUUGGAAAGGGCGGCCCUCUGUGUGCAGGGCGGCCUCUACCCUCAAAAUAUGCUUCUCCAUCCCUCCUCCUCCCCCAGAACCACAGAACAGGCAUAGUCAGCAGGUUCCAAGUACAACUUUUAAAAACUCGAGUAGAGAUGCAAACGAAGGGGAACUUUCUCUUUACAGAAGGGCCGCCCACAGGGCCCUCAAUCUCGCUCUUUCUCUGUCUCCCACCGUGGACCAAGCCCCCCUGCUGGGCUUUAAAAGCGAGGUUUAGUGCAGUGAAUAUACUACGGGGCCUUUUCUGGCACCCGGAGAAGCGCCUGGAGUGAAAAGGGGCCGGGAGGAUAACCAGAGGAAGAGGGGAGAGUCAGGAAGGCCGAAGAGGGGGACUCUGCCUCCUCCGGGCAUGAGCCGCGCCCGGGCCCAGCGGGGAGGUGGCGCAAUGCGGGUCAGGGUUCGGCUGACACCGACGCCACCGCCGGCCUGCUGAGUGCCCGGGAUUUCCCCUCAACCAGGCCCGAGAGGGAUUCCAGGCUCCUCGGGUGGAAUGUGGGAGGUCUUGGGGGUAAUCCUUCCUGCCGAAUGCAGAGCUGGCAGGAGCCUCCGUAAAAAAACAAAAAAUCAAAAAAACCCCACACCAAUAGCGAAGCGGUCUUGAGGGCUGCCCGCUUUGCCCGCAAUUAGAGGGGUUUUCUCGGACCAUGAGGGGAGGUGAAACCUAUGAAACUCGGACCCCGCCAGGAACCCGCACUGAAUGUCCUUUCUGCAACCACUUCACCAGGAACUCCAGGGGCCGGGACAAGGGUGACGACUCCAAAUCACAGGCUGCCGCUGACCUCUGGUUAUACUGAUGGGUCCUCGUUUCCUACCAUCGCCAGCCCCAGGAGUUAAGGACACGCGAGUAACCUUCCUGUCGCUGUCCCGUUCUCGCCUUACAAAAAAUAAAUAAAUAAAAAAGAGCCCAGCGGAGAAUUGUAGACUAGAGGUCGGAGGCUUCACGGAGCUGGAGAGGAACUCGCGUCUCUAGUUUUUAAAGCAAACAAAGCCGAAAACAGCCUAACGCCUCUGGCUGCCCAUGGGCCAGAGCUCAGUGCGUCUUGGGCAGUGCGGGCGCCGAGCACUCUGCUCCAGGAUCAUCUCGGGCCAAACCCUGGGCUGGGCCCCGCGCGCCUCUGCCUGGCUGGCAUCGAGUUAGGAGACCCUGUUUGCACCCCUCUUUGCAGCUGCUGAGCCUCCUCCGGCCAGGCUGGCCCUGGGGGCGCCGCCCAGGUCAGGGAAGGUGUGGGGCUCAGGUGGAGAACUCAGGGCCACUGGCGGCUGGGCGGCCACGUCCGGAACCCCGUCCCAACGCCUAUCUCGCGCGCUCUGCCCUCUCCAGGAGUAAAGCACUAAAACAUCCCCGGGUCUAGCGAGUGCAGGAUAGGGCGAAGCGGAGCCACCGGAGGCAUCUUCCGGCUGCGUUACCACUGGAGCGGAAAACUGAGCAUUUUCAGCGUUGGAAACGUCCCGUGGCUGCUGGAGGAGGCCCGCCCCGCAGGGUCGGCGAGAAAGUACUCGAAUUCCCACGCUGCCAUCUUGGCCUCUUUUUAAACAACAUCAUGAAACUAAAAACACCAAUCGAGGCAACGCGUUUCUUUCCGUUUUAGUACGACAUAAAUAAAAUGCGCUUUUAAGCCAUCUUACUCUCUAACUUCAAGGGAGCCAAUGUUAAUUUUACCUUUAUUUAAAUGAUUGCCAAGGCUGACUUGUGAGGGAUUCUCCCCCUCCUCCAUCCCUCCCUCCAGAUGUUGGCAUACGGAGUAUAGUAAUAAUUUCCCACUAUCCUGGAAAGCAAGCAGCUCUUUCUGGCCUCGUCCUCCCCCCACAACACCUUACCUCGUUUUUUGUGGAUAUUGUUAAUUUCACGGAACGCUAUUUAAAGUUUAGCAUGAAAUGCACGUGCCACGACACGAAUGGCCAGUGUGCUGUUACCUCCAAGGAACUCCAAGUGCGGCGCACUAGGAACAGACCCGACUUUUCCGUGGGUGCCUCCAGACGAUGCCACAGGAGAUUUAGUGGGCACCAUCUCCUGGUAGGAGGCUCCCUGACCUAAGCGCAGCCAUGUACCCAUGCACGCCCAAGUGGCCACAUUCCCAGGCGGGCUUUGCCACUGGGGACUAAAACUCUGUUCCUCGGAGGCAACAGCUAGAGCGGUGGAAGGAAACGCGAGGAACUUAGGGCGAUCUUUUUCACGCCACGUCCAGUUUUUAGGAUCUCGUGCCAAUUUCUCAGUGUGUUUCUGUCCAGAUAGACUAAGCUCUUUGGAGUUAAUUAACCUGAGGUCCAGCUACAAUUAAUAGAGAGCGAAGAAAAGACGGAAAGAGGGGGACUUUGUAGGAAGAGCGAGGAAUAAAAAAAAAAAA